This 386-nucleotide unclassified non-coding RNA is filed under the name fungal sp. RNAcentral describes it as "partial internal transcribed spacer region". The stretch from base 1 to 46 matches the Rfam family "Eukaryotic small subunit ribosomal RNA", at positions 1786 to 1831 of the family's 1831-position model. Lineage: Eukaryota; Fungi. The record is from RNAcentral.
AAGUCGUAACAAGGUUUCCGUAGGUGAACCUGCGGAAGGAUCAUUAACACGUAUCCACGUAUCAACCAAUGAGAACCUGUUUUCCCGUCUCCCUGUGCAAAGAAUGAAUUGGAACCAGUUUGAGGGAGUGAUGGGACCGAAAGGUCGGCCUUCCUGGUAUACUUAUGUAAAUAGAAAUGUUUGCAUAGACAAUUGUAUUUUUGUUACAGGCUAUUUCUUAUCGCUUUGAUCCCCAUCAUGAUCGUGGCGGUAGGGAAACUUUCACUAUAUUUACCUUUUUUGCUAGUUGACUUUUUAUAUGUGUUGUCUUGCGAAAGCAUGGUGGCACACGUUUAUUAAUUGAACGUUAAAAAAUACAACUCUUAGCAAUGGAUAUCUUGGUUCUC